This is a ribosomal RNA of Callithrix jacchus (white-tufted-ear marmoset), 119 nucleotides long. NCBI's taxonomy places the organism in Eukaryota, Metazoa, Chordata, Mammalia, Primates, Cebidae. The record is from Ensembl.
GUCUACAGCCAUACCACCCUGAAUGUGCCUGAUCUCAUCUGAUCUGAGAAGCUAAGCAGGGUCGGGCCUGCUUAGUACUUGGAUGGGAGACCACCUAGGAAUACUGGGUGCUGUAGGCU